AAACUAACAAGGAUUCCCUUAGUAACGGCGAGUGAACCGGGAAAAGCUCAAAUUUGUAAUCUGGCUGUCUUCGAUAGUCCGAGUUGUAAUCUAUAGACGUGUUUUCCGUGCUGGACCGUAUCUAAGUCCCUUGGAACAGGGUAUCAAAGAGGGUGACAAUCCCGUGCUUGAUACGACCACCAGUGCUCUGUGAUACACGCUCUACGAGUCGAGUUGUUUGGGAAUGCAGCUCAAAAUGGGUGGUAAAUUCCAUCUAAAGCUAAAUAUUGGCGAGAGACCGAUAGCGAACAAGUACCGUGAGGGAAAGAUGAAAAGCACUUUGGAAAGAGAGUUAAACAGUACGUGAAAUUGUUGAAAGGGAAACGAUUGAAGUCAGUCGUGUUCUUUGGAUUCAGCUAGUUCUUCUAGUCUACUUCCUUUGAACGGGUCAACAUCAGUUUUGUCCGGUGGAUAAAGAUAGUAGGAAUGUAGCUCCCUCGGGAGUGUUAUAGACUAUUAUUGCAUGCACUGGGUGAGACUGAGGACUGCAGCUCGCCUUUUGGCCGACCUUCGGGUACGUUCGAGCUUAGGAUGUUGACAUAAUGGCUUUAAACGAC
RNAcentral lists this ribosomal RNA (596 nucleotides) under Cutaneotrichosporon moniliiforme. Its description in RNAcentral is "partial large subunit ribosomal RNA". It matches the Rfam family "Eukaryotic large subunit ribosomal RNA", at positions 62 to 648 of the family's 3401-position model. The record is from RNAcentral. Lineage: Eukaryota; Fungi; Basidiomycota; Tremellomycetes; Trichosporonales; Trichosporonaceae.